UGGGAGAGUUCAGGAAUAAAGAGUUGCUAUUUGAACCUACAAGGCUUUGUGGCGGCUCGGUUAUUUUGUGCCCAGCCAGACGGCGGCAUUUAUUCUCACCAGUUUCCUUGUGGACUAUGAAUCCAACAGGCUACUCACUGAAUUUGUUUUUCUAGUGCCUUUUGUAAAAUCUUGGUGCCAUCUAAUUCCAGUUUGCCCAAGUACUUAAAUUUUUAACUUUAUACGAUGUGAUUUCUUUCCUAAGCAAAUCUAGGCUGCAACAGUGAGUGCAUGUAGGAUGCUAAAUGUCAACCCCAGAUGGACACAACUGUGUUUUCUGAAACUCACUUUUCAAAAACUGGCAUAUGAACCCGUGGACUUGGUACUUCCUGUGUGACAUCAUGUUUUCCAAACAGGACGCAGUUCCGAAGUUUAGUGUUCAAAAAGAUCUCUGUUCAUCCCAAACAAACCCCAAAACUCUCCUCCCUCUCCCACCCAAACCCAACAACUAAUUAUCCAGCUAAUCUUUCCCAAGAAGAUUUUUACGACCACAGUUUUAAUUUUUUUUUUCAAAGCGUACAACACGUACCAUGUCAGGCUUACUGUUGACCAUGCCACCAAAUCUUUGAGGCCAAACAAAGAAAAUGUCUCCAGUCAACAUCAAAUAAGAGCCGCUCUCUGGUGGGGUGAGUGGUGGUGGUGGUGGAUGACCCAGAAUGCCCAGACCCUUCCUGCGACUGACCCU
This 724-nucleotide long non-coding RNA is filed under the name Marmota monax (woodchuck). The record is from RNAcentral. Lineage: Eukaryota; Metazoa; Chordata; Mammalia; Rodentia; Sciuridae.